AAUUUAUUGGCCAGACAACGUAAUCUUUAUGUUUCCGGAUAUGUAGAAUUACCCAAGAGCAGUCGCUAAGCGAAUGCUCGGUGGUGUACAGGGCGUAAACAUCCUGCUUUUGAAUUGCCAAGACGACGACAUGUCUACCACCCACAAACAGCGUUAUAAAAAUGCCGCCUUGGACUCCACAGAGAUGCGGCGUCGUCGCGAGGAGGUGGGCAUCCAGUUGCGGAAGACCAAACGCGAACAGCAGCUUUUUAAGCGACGCAAUGUGGUCCUGGAGCCGGCUACAUCCUCAACAUCAGCCGGAAUGGAGAGCAUCGUCAGUAACGAACAGCAGGCUGCCGACAUGCACAUGUCUGACAGCAGCACUGGACCAACGCAUUUUUCUGGCGGUCAAAACGAGGCAACCGCUGGAAGCGGGGCACAGCCAUCCGUAAUCAGCGAGGAGAUGAUUCAAAUGCUAUACAGUGGACGUGAAAGCGACCAGCUUGAGGCCACUCAAAAGUUUCGCAAAUUGCUGUCCCGCGAUCCCAAUCCACCCAUUGAGGAGGUUAUCCAGAAGGGGAUAGUGCCGCAGUUUGUCACCUUUUUGCGUAACAGCUCAAAUGCCACGCUGCAGUUUGAGGCCGCCUGGACGCUAACGAACAUUGCCUCGGGCACCUCCCAGCAGACCAAGAUCGUAAUCGAGGCCGGGGCAGUGCCCAUCUUUAUUGAGUUGCUCUCCAGUCCCCAUGAUGAUGUCCAGGAACAGGCUGUGUGGGCCCUGGGAAACAUAGCCGGUGACUCACCCAUGUGCCGAGAUCAUCUGCUCGGCUCCGGCAUUCUAAUGCCUCUCCUGCAUGUAUUGAGCAACUCAGAGCGCAUUACCAUGAUACGGAAUGCGGUAUGGACUCUCUCGAAUUUGUGCCGCGGCAAAAGUCCUCCCGCAGACUUUGCCAAAAUUGUCCAUGGUCUGCCAAUACUGGCACAGUUACUGGACUAUACUGACCCGGAUGUACUAAGCGAUACUUGCUGGGCCAUAAGCUACCUGUCCGAUGGACCCAACGAUAAAAUCCAGGCUGUAAUAGAUGUGGGUGUUUGCCGUCGGCUAGUUGAGCUCCUAUUACAUCCACAGCAGAACGUGAGCACUGCCGCUCUAAGGGCCGUGGGCAAUAUUGUGACCGGCGACGAUCAGCAGACCCAGGUGAUAUUAGGGUACAACGCAUUGCCCUGCAUAAGCCACCUACUGCGUUCCACGGCGGAAACAAUUAAGAAGGAGUCGUGCUGGACAAUCUCUAAUAUCGCAGCCGGCAAUCGUGAGCAGAUUCAGGCCAUAAUCAAUGCCAACAUAUUCCCGCAGCUGAUGGUUAUCAUGCAGACGGCUGAAUUUAAGACUCGCAAAGAAGCCGCAUGGGCCAUUACCAACGCCACCAGCAGCGGAACCUCCGAACAGAUCAACUACCUGGUGCAGGUUGGCUGUGUGCCGCCCAUGUGCGAUUUUCUCACCGUCGUCGACUCGGACAUUGUCCAGGUGGCUCUAAAUGCACUAGAAAACAUUUUGAAGGCAGGUGAAAAGUUCCAGACGCGACCUAAUCCCUAUGCUAUUACCAUCGAGGAAUGCGGAGGUCUGGACAAGAUCGAGUAUCUGCAGGCGCAUGAAAACCGCGACAUUUACCAUAAAUCGUUUUACAUAAUCGAACAGUACUUCGGCAACGAAGAGGAGGAUAGCCGCGUAGCCCCCGUGGCCGGCUCGCAACAGUUUGAAUUCGAUCCAGACAACAUGCCCAGCACAGGAUUUAACUUUUAGCACCUUACCAGGCAGGACAUCGUGUACACUAUUCAAAUGCGAAUUCCUCUCAAGUCAUGAACACACAGCAUACAACAGGAAGCGAAUCCUUGCCGACGGGAUUUAAAUGAAGGCCAGAGCACGGACAUGAAACACAGGCCGCAGGAGAAGGCAGACAUUGCCCAAGUGCAGUCACUACUAGCAUUUAAGUAAAGUUGGUCAUUCGGUCGGCUCGUUUCUUUGUUACACACACUCACCUGCAUUUUGUAUCGGCGGUUAAAUUUAUAGUUUUCGAAGUGGUCCAGGACCAGACAUGACCUUACUCAAAGUUUUCUCCAGCUGGCGAGAUUGCUUUCAUCUAGUUUAUUGAGUUUGUAAAUAUUUUUCAUAAGGCCCAAACGCGUUGAGAUCCUGACAUGGUGUUAUACAUUUUGACGAAACCAACGUUAAUUACGAUAAUGAUAACGAAUAACUUGAAACGUCUUUAUUUGAUUUUGUUAUGCGAAUCGCCGAAUGUAAAUUUGUUUAAAUUAUAAAGCAUUGUAAUUUAAUUUAGAGGACACAUCAAUAAAGAACAUCUAGACCACAGA
Molecule: unclassified non-coding RNA, 2349 nt
Filed under: Drosophila yakuba
Lineage: Eukaryota; Metazoa; Arthropoda; Insecta; Diptera; Drosophilidae
Description: GE19625
Source: RNAcentral